GAUGAACGCUGGCGGCGUGCCUAAUACAUGCAAGUCGAGCGAACAGACGAGGAGCUUGCUCCGCUGUCGUGAGCGGCGGACGGGUGAGUAACACGUGGAUAACCUACCUAUAAGACGGGGAUAACUUCGGGAAACCGGAUCUAAUAGCGGAGAAUAUAUUGAACCGCAUGGGGGAAUAGUGAAAGACGGUGUUGCUGUCAGUUAUAGAUGGAUCCGCGCCGCAUUAGCUAGUUGGUAAGGUAACGGGUUAUCAAGGCGACGAUGCGUAGGCGACCUGAGAGGGGGGUCGCCCGCCCUGGAGCGUGACCAGCGUCCUGACUCCUGCGGGACGCAGCAGUAGCCAAUCGUCCGCAAUAGGCGGGAGCAUGGCGGAGUAGCCCCAAGUGAGUUGUGAAGGUCUUCGGAUCGUAAAGCUCUCUUAUUGGGGGAGAACAACUGUCUACGUAACUAUACCCGUCUUGACGGUACCUAAUCAGAAAGCCCCGGCUAACUACGUG
RNAcentral lists this ribosomal RNA (497 nucleotides) under uncultured bacterium. RNAcentral describes it as "partial 16S ribosomal RNA". It matches the Rfam family "Bacterial small subunit ribosomal RNA", at positions 28 to 507 of the family's 1533-position model. The record is from RNAcentral.